Molecule: long non-coding RNA, 5221 nt
Organism: Chroicocephalus ridibundus (black-headed gull)
Lineage: Eukaryota; Metazoa; Chordata; Aves; Charadriiformes; Laridae
Exons: 3
Source: RefSeq, a predicted model, not a curated record
GGCUCUCCACUUGCAGGAAGCACCAGGCAGCGAUUACCAGCACCCCCGACAUCUGCAAGGAGAGGAGAGGAGAGAUGAGCGGCGAGGAGACGAGAUGAGCGGCGAGGCGAGGCGGCAGCGGGGGCAGCUUCCUCGGGCAGAAGAGAUGACAAGUGGGACAGGCUCUGCUGUAAGAACGAUAGACUACUGGAGAGAAACAGAGGUGCAGGAACCAUGGAAGAUUUGCACCUGAAAUGGAAGUUCCAAGGCUUGAUCAUAAAGGAUGAAGCACACUAAGACUGUUGUUCUGGAAGAUAUCAAAUUUAUCAUACUUUCCUAGCAUCUAUCUACAUGAUUCUUCUGGGAGUUUGAUGUUAUUUUUCUACAUCUAUCUUUGAUAAAGAAGUGAAUUUAUGAGAAAGUACUUAUUUGACUCUCAUUGGUUAUUGUUCAAUUUGUGUGACCAGGUUCUGCCAAAUAAAAUAAUAGCUUUUCAAGUAUAUUUCUUCCUAAUCCUCUACUUCCCAAGCAACUUGGGAAAUCCUACUCACACGUUUUCCUCCUCUCAGACUCAGCUUUAUUUAUGACAUCUCAUUUUCUUUAAAUGUGGCUUUAAAUGAAGUACAGAUUUGGUUUUGCGCGUCUCUUUGGGGAACUGAGGAGAAAAAUGUAUGUGCAUGUAGAUGUGUGAUUGUAGAUCCUCAGGCCGCUUUCAACUAAUAAUUACACUGUAAACAUUUCAGGACAAGGGCAGCCUCAUAGUCUACAUCUGUUAGAGCAAUAGGAUCCAGUAGCUGACUGCUAUCUUCAGCCAUAACAUUAAAAGUAAUUACUAGUGUUUAUGUUAUAACAUCAACCAGGGAUUUCAGAAUUCAUACAUAAAAUAUGAGACAGUCCUUGCCAGAGCCCUAAUAGCAGAAGUUAGUUCAGCAAAGUGCGCAAACAUAGAUGUGACCUUGUGAGUAACAACUUCUGCCCCCUGCCCCAUUUUUUGUUUAAAGCUCUCCCUCCCCAACUUGUCAGCAUGUUUAAGAACCCAAAAGAGAAGUACAACAGUAAAAGAAACUCAGGAGACAUAACUGUCUUUGGAGUAACUUUGUUCCUUAGCAGGAGGGAGAAUUACUUGCCUUUUUGUUUUGGAGAAGGCAGUUCCAGUCUCAGACUGGCUAAUGAGAAGUGUCUAAUUAGCACAUAAAUCACAUAAAAUAUACUUGCUCACUUGUCUUAUGUCAGAGCAGGGAUCCAACCUUGUCCAAAUCCACAGUGGUUCUUUAACAUUAGGAAAGAAAUAUUAACUCAUUCUUCAUGAAAUCAUCACGUCUUCAUCAAGGCUCGAAGAGAAGGGACCAAGCUAAAUCCCAGUGACACGGGUUAGUAGAAAGCCUCUUACUAAAUCAGAUCCACUGCUGUGUGAAUACAGAUGUGGUAGCUUACAACUGUAUCUUGAACUAGUGAAGGCUAAUUCAGGAAAAAAACUCUCCUGUGCCACAAGUAUGCUUCUUCUGUUAAAGGAUAAGCUUUAGAAGAGUCUCAUUACCCGCGUGCAAUGUUGCUGCUGAAGGAAAAAGUGCAAGCAGCAAGGCUAGAUGCUUCCAGUGAGAAAAAAAAAAGCUUCCUUUCUUGAAAUGCACAAACCAUCUAUUUUCCUAUUAUUCCAAGCUGGAUCAUCAGCUACUAUAAGGAGACACCAUACAUAGUUAAAAUCAAUAGUGGUGUGUUGAUUUACAUCUGCUAAGGAUCUAGUUCUCUACUUCAAGCAUCCAAACCCCAGGUGGAACUAGGAGGUAAUUUAGAUAAGAAACACCAACUUCGCUAAGAGCUGACGUAACUGAUUUCUGAGGAAAGAUAUGUAGAGCUUUCCUAAAGGAAGGCUCACAGCAUAUCAAGGAUGAUAGAAAGGCUCUAGUGUUUAUAAGAAUUUGUUUCCUUAGAAAGGAAGUGAAUCAAGAGGGAAAAAAGGGAUGAAACUUAGUGAUAGGUAAAAUUCAGAAGGGUAAAAUUAAAAGGAAUAAGAGUAAAUAUUUUCAGUGGCUAUAGUAAUUGAACAUGGAGUAGUUUUGCUAAGGAUAACGAUAAAGAUAUGAGGCUACGAUACCAUGAAACUAGAUGCAAACAAGCCUCUGAAAAUAUUCCAUAUACACUCGUAUUUAAUGGGAUUUUUCUGCCUUGUUUUUGUCAUAUGGGAGUCUUAUGGGAUAUAGGAUUUUACUUAUAUUGUAUUAUCCUAACCAGCAAGAGCAGACGAUAAUCUGUUGAAAGGGCAUUUACCUGUUUGUUCUUGGAUUCUUUUGCAGGCCAACCAUGUGGUUAAGCUACGUGGCCCCAGAAAGACCACAAAUAUUGCCUAGUGCCUAUUAAUCUCUCUGUAUAGCUGCUUCAUUGCCAUUGUUAAAUAAAGACGAAUUCUUAGAAGGUGAGCAGGGCAUGUUGUACUGUACAAAACAAAAGAGUGUAAGCCCACUGACAAGAUUCUUUCAACAGAGAUCCAAAAUGAUGAAUUGUAUUUGUUAGAAAGCUUGAGCAAAAAACCAAUACUCUGAUUUUUGCUGGAUGAUGCAGGUGCUGUCAGAAGGGAAGAAAAAAUCCAAACAUUUGUUUGUGCACCUCCAACAGUGCCCUACCUUUCAGAGACAGAAAAGAGAGAGAGAAAGUGUGAAAUUUCACCUCAAGUCCCUGGUUCCCUGCUGCUGCUUCUCAUCAGAGCGGAAUCUGGAUUAGAGUGAUAAAGAAUGGGAUAUAAAGUCCCAGAAGCAUUGGAAUCUGUGGAAACUGCAUUUUCAUGAUUUCAUGAUGGCAAGCAUGGAGUUAAACAGAAAAGACCAAUUAUAAAGAGAGAUGGGCAAAAGUCAGGAGGAAAAAAAUUUAAAACUAUGAAUUGAGAUUGUGCUAGAAGUGGUGAGAUAAAAGCAAGAUGAGCACCUGGCUAUAUAAAUGCAGUAGUUACUUGAAACAGAAUGCCUAAGAGUGUUUUAUUAAAAUGAGGCUUUUAUUAUAAAAGCAGGGGCUUAUUUAAUAAGUAUUCCUCCUAAAGACUUAAAGUGUCCUCUGCCCAUGCAGCCUGCAUUCCAAGGUUAUCAGGAGAACUGUUGCUAUGGGCUGAACUCAAUUUAGCACAUGCUUUUUGUGUGGUGAGUGGAUGUGAAAAGGAUUCAGCAACACAGAUCUGUCUGUGUUCUGAAUGUGAAAUGAACUUUUGUUAAAGAUCUUGCAAACCUCAACUACAGCUGCACAAUACUGAUACAGCCAGGCAAGAAGAGGAUGACCUAUUUGCGUCUGUCUGAACUUUGUAUUCAUAUUUUGAUCACAAGCAAUGAAACCUGCGGCAAUACACCAAACAGGAAGAUGUAAGGAAGUGAGACCCUCUGUGUUUAAUUACCUUUAUAUGCUGUUUAACUUAAGAUUUUAACUUAAGAAUUUUCUCUUAUAAAAUCUUUUAACAUCAGAAAAUACUGUAUGCUCAGGAGAUUUUUAAUCAUUAUUAUGAUCAAGGAAAGUUUGAACACUGCAGGCAGAAGGUUAGAAAGGCCAUGCAUUGUAAUGCAAAUUUCAUUGUUAGGAUCCACAGAAAUAGACGUAAUUUCUCUAUAGAGGGAAAAAAAUCAUAUCCCACCAUUAUCUGGAUACAUGGCACAACACAGGAGUAGCUAAUCAUGAAUAAGGUAGUUUGCAAAAAGGCCUAUCGUUUGCCUGCCCCGAGUAUUAGUGCCCUACAGUAUUUUUGCACAUUUCUUUGACAGGAGAUAAAACUGUUCUAUUGCCUUAUGUGCAAAUUGUUGAAGAACCAGAGAUCUAAAGAGGACGUUUACUGAAAUACUACAAGAUGGUCACCAUUAAUCUAACAGCAUCUAAUGAUAUUCGCGCUCCAGUUUAAAUCUCUUGCCCAUGGAGAAGUUCUGAGACCCAUCGUAAAUGGCACCAUUUCAACGAUCAUCACUUUAGCAUCACUACAGGAGAGAGAGAGAAGGAUCUUUUGUAUGAGCCUGAUGCACAAGAUACACCCUAACAAGAACUCUGGGGUUUACAAGAUGCUCUUGUCUUUAUUCAGUCUGUCACUAGCAAAGCAAAGACCAGAUUUGAUAUUGUCUAGAAACCCCUGUUUAAAAAAAAAAAAAAAAUCAAAUUAUUUGAAUAUUUUUGUCAGUCACCCAGAUUUAAUAUUGAAACUUCUAGGCAUUUUCAUCACCAUUUGCCCCUCUCCCCCCUCCAUGCAGGAGCUCUCAGAACAUAUAUCCUAUCUUUCCUUUGCCAGAAAGUGCAAGGGGAAAAAUGGACAUAGUUCACCUAAUAAGGUGAGAAAAGACUAUCUGAGGCUUUUAGCUCGUCUCACAGUUCUGGUUAUUAUUUACUUAGUUCAGUAGGGUCUGGAACUUAUUGACAUUACAAUCUCUUGUUCACCUCAGGCACACAUUCUAAUCAACUCUCGUUACGGUCAAAUAAGUGGCUGGAGGCAGUUCUCCCCCCAGAUUCAUUGUUUUUAGAUCAGUUUCUAUAUAAUCAGGGCUCCUGCGUCAGCACUUGCAGAAAGAUUGUUUCAGCAGCUAAGUUGUUAAGGAGCUGGUAUAUUGCUUCCUGAUCAAGUGUCACAAAUUCAGAAUUACCGCAGUGUGCAAGAGUGUCCAGAUAGGAAACCAAGAGCAGAGCAGAGCUUGUUCAGCUGGCUUCUUCAGUCCCAGUGCCACUCUUGAACCUGACUCACACUGGGGCUAUCAGGUAAUUUUCUUCAGCCUUUGCCUUGAACAAAUGCUCCUGUCCAAUUACACACAACAUUUAUGAGAUGUCCCAUAUGGAAUGAGCCCUGAAGAGUACAACGUAACAUGCUAUCUAGAGUCAACAAGGAUCAACAUUACAGUAUAGAAGCUCAGACUUGUAUAUACUACAUAAACUAUAGCAAGAGCCAGCUCUUUCCCUUCCUCCCCAGAGCAGUGGAGAGAGAUUCUUUCCCCUGUUGGCUUUCUAGCUUGGUCUUUUAAUAGCUUUCUUGUGCCAAGUCCUAUAAAAUACAGUCCAUAUUCACUGCAGGGAGUGAGGCAAAUCGUGUACACAAGUCACCCAUCAGCUCAUGAGUAUUUUUGUUAGCUAUGUAGAGAAUAGCAUGUAAUUACAAGGUAGUCACGUUCAUGAUCAUUAAAACAGAGUUCUAUGUAAUAGACAUAUUAUGUUGUGAUAAUCUGUUACACUUUUGAGCGUGCACUCAUCUCAGAGUUAACAUGCCUGAAGAUAUUUUCUGUAAGGCAGGUACAUC